AGCCGGGAUGGCAAAAGGGGCGGGGGCAAGGGAGGAGGGGCGGGACUAGGGCGACAUUCUCCUCCAAUCGGAACGGGGCGAGGAGAGGAGAGACGGCGGAAGGAGCCAAUGGGAUUCCAAAGAAAUAAGGCGAAGGGGAGACAGACAGCGGGAGGAGCCAAUGGGGCUCCAUAAUAAGGGGAAUGGGGUUGGCUGUGACCGUAAGAGUCUCUGCCUCAGUGUGGCGCAGUUUGUGAGAGAGGAAGGAGCGCCUGCUGCUGCUACUGCUGCUCUUCUUGGAGGCUCCCCUGAAGAAGGAUGGGAGUCCCCUGAGGAAGCGGGAAAGAACGAGCAGGAGGAGGCUGUACAGCUCCCUUUCGUCGGCGAAGGGGUGUGUUCUCCUCUAUGGUUGUACCAGAAAUGACUAAAGUGUAAGAUGGAGAAGACUGAGGCUCGCAGCAUGAUAAAGUUCCUUCAUUUGAAGGGUAAUAAUGCCCAGCAAAUUCAUGAUGAAAUGAUGGUAAUUUAUGGAAACGAUUGUGGAAAUGAUAUAAGUAGUUGAAAUUUAGUUUAUUAAAGUUUAUGUUUCUAAUUCUGAAGGACAUUGUUAAGUUAUUUAACGAUAUGGCAAUGUUAUUGAAGAUUUUUUUUAACAAGAUUGGUAAAUUCAAAGGGAAAUUUGUUUAACUGACAUGCAUUCUUGAUAGGAGUUGGCACAUGCCUCCAGCAUAAUCUAACAGAAAUGUAGUUUAAACAUGUUACGUUCUAAUUCUGUAUUUAACUGAAAAUAUAAACCUCAAUUGUAAUUUUUAGACCAGAUGAACAAAAUACACUAGUUCUUCUUGUUCAUGAUGUUCAAGGAUUGAAUUGUCCCCACUGCUCAGUUCUGUUCUAUCAAUUUGGAAUAUUUACUAUCCUCUCCCUUACUCCAAAAAGGCCUCUGAGCCCCUAAGGAGCUUUGAACAGAGAAGAUCUGAGUCGUCACCACUCCAGCCUCAAAAAUCAAGUAAAAAGCAGCUUGAAAGGCACGCCUCUCAGACUCCCUAUGCAGAAGCAUAGCCUGAUUCCAUUUUUUGCUUAACUAUUUUUGACUCCCCAAAGAGCUUUCUAUGGUUAUCUUGAGAAGCGUAUAGUGAUAUGCUAUAUGCAUGGGACAAUUAACAGGUAGGGACUGCAGCUAUAGGGAUUUCUCUGUCCAGAGACGUUUACCUUGCGUCAUUUUGUGAAUACCAGGUAUUUUCCAAAUCGCUUACACUCUUACAUAUUUUCACAUUAAUGUGUAUGUUGUCUAGGCCUAAUUGCCACAAUUGUUCUUUAAUAGAAGAAACUGUUCUUGGAAUUCUGUGCUGAAGAUAAAGAUACAAAAUGCCCAAGUAAUGCUUAAAGGGAUCAAUGGCAUGAUAAUUCAUAAAUGUAUUUAAUAGUAUUUAUUUCUAUUAUGAACAUUGCUUAGAUUCAUAAAUAUGAAGAAAAUUCAAACUAAAUAAAAAUGUUUCAAUCAUGGAA
Sceloporus undulatus (fence lizard) is the source of this 1485-nucleotide long non-coding RNA. RefSeq lists it as uncharacterized. The transcript is spliced from 2 exons. The record is from RefSeq and is a predicted model, not a curated record. Lineage: Eukaryota; Metazoa; Chordata; Lepidosauria; Squamata; Phrynosomatidae.